This is a long non-coding RNA of Mauremys mutica (yellowpond turtle), 1059 nucleotides long. RefSeq lists it as uncharacterized. The record is from RefSeq and is a predicted model, not a curated record. Lineage: Eukaryota; Metazoa; Chordata; Testudines; Geoemydidae. The transcript has 3 exons.
GCCAGGAGGGAGCAGUCGGUGAUUGUUUGCAUUGUACAUGGCAGGCAGUUCUGGUAGAUGGCAAAAGGGGUAGCUGGAGGGGGGCAAGGAUUUCGGGGGUCCUGGCUGCUCCUCCUAACCUGCCCCUUCUUCCCACGGGGGUGGGGAAAAGUGGCCUCUUUCUUUGGUUCACAGAUUAUACGUUCUCUCAGGUGGAUCCUUGUUAGCUUCAGCCAAGAUAGAAGAGGUGUUGGAGUAUCCUGGUGGGCAGAGAGAACACGGGUCUGCAAGAGAGCGAGAUCUUGCAGCGGAUGCUAUAGGAUGCUGUAGCCAAGUUUGGGGAGAAAGUUUGAUCCAAGGUUUGUUUUAUUAUUUUAGUACCAGACAAAGCAAACUCCAUGAAGCAGGUGUUAUUGGAUACAUCAUCGUUAAGCCAAGCUGAAUGUUAAAGUUAAUCUGUCAAUUCCCCAGGAGAGGGGAUGUGACAGGUGUGUCUGGGCCGUCUGAUGUAUAUGGCUGCGGUUGUUGUAUGAUCAAAGCAGCAAGGGCAAUAAAUGACAAAUACUCAAGGAUCUACUCUCCAAGCAACCCGUUAAGCUGUAAGGAAGAUUCCCAGUGAAGACUCUGUCAAGCAAAUUUUCUUGUUUUUCAUUUACCCUCACCCUGAUAAAAACUCUGCGGCUGGAGUAUCACAGGAGAAUGGUACCGUUAGGACGUGAGAGAGACUUUGUGUCAAAAUACGAACGAGGAGCCUGAAUCUGUCAUCCUGAAUCAGGCCCCGUAGCACCUUUCCCCGCACAGAAUCCUCUUGAUUUCAAUAGUGUGGAUCAGAGCACCGCGGUGAAUUAGGAGACCAGAACUCGGCCAUUAGAAAGAAACAUAAACACAUCACUAGAAGUGAUGGAAUUAAAUGAUGCAAAAGAAGCAGGUGGUUAAUCAAAAAUAACAAGGGGGAAAAAAGCAGAGAAACAACGAAAGAAGGCCAUGCAUGUAGCUAUUAUGAGGUCAAACUGCUCUGAGGAGGGGAAAAUAAAGAUAGAUAAAAAUAAAGCAUAUGCUUAGGCAAGAAGAUCCAACACU